This 417-nucleotide ribosomal RNA is filed under the name uncultured Oribacterium sp. RNAcentral describes it as "bacterial SSU rRNA". It matches the Rfam family "Bacterial small subunit ribosomal RNA", at positions 355 to 784 of the family's 1533-position model. The record is from RNAcentral. Lineage: Bacteria; Bacillati; Bacillota; Clostridia; Lachnospirales; Lachnospiraceae.
UGGGGAAUAUUGGGGCAAUGGGGGCGCAAGCCUGACCCAGCAACGCCGCGUGAAGGAAGAAGGCUUUCGGGUUGUAAACUUCUUUUGUCAGGGACGAGUAGAAGACGGUACCUGACGAAUAAGCCACGGCUAACUACGUGCCAGCAGCCGCGGUAAUACGUAGGGGGCAAGCGUUAUCCGGAUUUACUGGGUGUAAAGGGAGCGUAGACGGAACGGCAAGUUUGAAGUGAAAUACCCGGGCUUAACCCGGGAACUGCUUUGAAAACUGUCGAUCUAGAGUGUCGGAGAGGUAAGUGGAAUUCCUGGUGUAGUAGUGAAAUGCGUAGAUAUCAGGAAGAACACCGGAGGCGAAGGCGGCUUACUGGACGAUAACUGACGUUGAGGCUCGAAAGCGUGGGGAGCAAACAGGAUUAGAUA